AUAAUGGGUCAGCGACUUAUAUUCUGUAGCAAGGUUAACCGAAUAGGGGAGCCGAAGGGAAACCGAGUCUUAACUGGGCGUUAAGUUGCAGGGUAUAGACCCGAAACCCGGUGAUCUAGCCAUGGGCAGGUUGAAGGUUGGGUAACACUAACUGGAGGACCGAACCGACUAAUGUUGAAAAAUUAGCGGAUGACUUGUGGCUGGGGGUGAAAGGCCAAUCAAACCGGGAGAUAGCUGGUUCUCCCCGAAAGCUAUUUAGGUAGCGCCUCGUGAAUUCAUCUCCGGGGGUAGAGCACUGUUUCGGCAAGGGGGUCAUCCCGACUUACCAACCCGAUGCAAACUGCGAAUACCGGAGAAUGUUAUCACGGGAGACACACGGCGGGUGCUAACGUCCGUCGUGAAGAGGGAAACAACCCAGACCGCCAGCUAAGGUCCCAAAGUCAUGGUUAAGUGGGAAACGAUGUGGGAAGGCCCAGACAGCCAGGAUGUUGGCUUAGAAGCAGCCAUCAUUUAAAGAAAGCGUAAUAGCUCACUGGUCGAGUCGGCCUGCGCGGAAGAUGUAACGGGGCUAAACCAUGCACCGAAGCUGCGGCAGCGACGCUGAUGCGUUGUUGGGUAGGGGAGCGUUCUGUAAGCCUGUGAAGGUGUGCUGUGAGGCAUGCUGGAGGUAUCAGAAGUGCGAAUGCUGACAUAAGUAACGAUAAAGCGGGUGAAAAGCCCGC
RNAcentral lists this ribosomal RNA (722 nucleotides) under Escherichia coli. RNAcentral describes it as "partial 23S ribosomal RNA". It matches the Rfam family "Bacterial large subunit ribosomal RNA", at positions 612 to 1333 of the family's 2925-position model. Lineage: Bacteria; Pseudomonadati; Pseudomonadota; Gammaproteobacteria; Enterobacterales; Enterobacteriaceae. The record is from RNAcentral.